GGGGUCGACUUAGUUUCGACAGGGUCGAUCGCCUGGCAGUGACUGCAGCUGGCUGGUAACCAUAAAUACCAAAACAAAAUAACUGACAACAGUUAUAUGCGUGCUCCAAGAGCACAAUCCCUCUGCUUAGCUUAAGCUACCCGACAUAGGGCCCGACCUUAGAGGCCGGACAGAGCAUCUCCUAGAGUUUUAUUCCUUUCACGUCUAGGUCAGGUGUCAUACCAAAAGGAUAGGAAGACAUAGUUGACUUGCUAAAGUUCACCGAAAUCCAAUAAGUCUCGCGAAGAUAACUACGAUAUGCGAUGCUUCGUUAAAUCUAAAAUAUCGUCUAAGCUGUAGACGUUGCUGUGGGGCCCUCUCUGGACACGAGUGCAAUUCUCGCCGACUCCACCA
This 393-nucleotide transfer-messenger RNA is filed under the name Bacilli. RNAcentral describes it as "UBA3207 sp018064745 Standard tmRNA". It matches the Rfam family "transfer-messenger RNA". Rfam says of the family: Bacterial tmRNA, also known as 10Sa RNA or SsrA, is named for its dual tRNA and mRNA-like properties. Its role is to liberate the mRNA from a stalled ribosome. RNAcentral also lists the same sequence under 1 other name. The record is from RNAcentral. Lineage: Bacteria; Bacillati; Bacillota.